CCAUCUCUCUUUUCAUGAAACCCUAGCCUCCUCACUCUAUAAAUAGAACCCCAAGGCCUCCCUCUUUUUCAAUCAAGCCAACGCCUAAGUUCUCUUCAAGCUUCUCUCUUUCUCUCUCCCUCUUCCUCUUCUUUGUAAGUUUAGGGGAGGUACUAACCCUAGCACAAUAUAUUCCUCCAUAGAUCCCUUUUCCACAUCCCAUCAAAUCUAGGAGAGGUUCUAAUCUUAGUGCCGCUAUCCUUUCUUUGUUACAUAUCCGCUUCCAUCA
This 268-nucleotide long non-coding RNA is filed under the name Elaeis guineensis (African oil palm). RNAcentral's name for it is "long non-coding RNA (EGUI_LNC019691)". The record is from RNAcentral. Lineage: Eukaryota; Viridiplantae; Streptophyta; Magnoliopsida; Arecales; Arecaceae.